UACGUAGGGGGCGAGCGUUGUCCGGAGUUACUGGGCGUAAAGCGCACGCAGGCGGUCUGCUAAGUUUGGAGUGACAGUUGGUGGCUUAACUGCCAAAGUGCUUCGAAAACUGACAGACUUGAGGGCAUCAGAGGGACACGGAAUUCCGGGUGGAGUGGUGAAAUGCGUAGAGAUCCGGAGGAACACCAGAGGCGAAGGCAGUGUCCUGGGGAGUAACUGACGCUCAGGUGCGAAAGCCAGGGGAGCGAACGGG
RNAcentral lists this ribosomal RNA (253 nucleotides) under uncultured bacterium. Its description in RNAcentral is "partial 16S ribosomal RNA". It matches the Rfam family "Bacterial small subunit ribosomal RNA", at positions 524 to 776 of the family's 1533-position model. The record is from RNAcentral.